This 437-nucleotide ribosomal RNA is filed under the name uncultured bacterium. RNAcentral describes it as "bacterial SSU rRNA". It matches the Rfam family "Bacterial small subunit ribosomal RNA", at positions 341 to 792 of the family's 1533-position model. The record is from RNAcentral.
ACGGGAGGCAGCAGUGGGGAAUAUUGGGCAAUGGAGGAAACUCUGACCCAGCAACGCCGCGUGAAUGAUGAAGGUCUUCGGAUUGUAAAGUUCUUUUCUAAGGGACGAAGAAAGUGACGGUACCUUAGGAAUAAGCCUCGGCUAACUACGUGCCAGCAGCCGCGGUAAUACGUAGGAGGCAAGCGUUAUCCGGAAUGACUGGGCGUAAAGGGUGCGUAGGUGGUUCAGCAAGUUGGCAGCGUAACUCCGGGGCUCAACCUCGGCACUACUGCCAAAACUGUCGAACUUGAGUGCAGGAGGGGCAAUCGGAAUUCCUAGUGUAGCGGUGGAAUGCGUAGAUAUUAGGAGGAACACCAGUGGCGAAGGCGGAUUGCUGGACUGUAACUGACACUGAGGCACGAAAGCGUGGGGAGCAAACAGGAUUAGAUACCCUGGUA